Molecule: ribosomal RNA, 456 nt
Filed under: Triticum aestivum (bread wheat)
Lineage: Eukaryota; Viridiplantae; Streptophyta; Magnoliopsida; Poales; Poaceae
Description: partial small subunit ribosomal RNA
Source: RNAcentral
GCCGGAUUCAUUAGAGAAAUAGAACACCCAGACUGGCUAGCAAACCUGGUGAUGGUACCAAAGAAGGACAAAUCCUGGCGCCUAUGUGUCGACUUCAAGGACCUCAACAAGGCUUGCACAAAGGAUCCCUUCCCCCUCCCCCGCAUUGAUCAAAUUAUCGAUGCUACCGCAGGACACGAGUCAUUGUGUUUCCUCGACGCAUACUCCGGCUACCACCAAAUCAAGAUGGCGGAGUCCGACCAAGCCGUAACGGCAUUUAUCACACCAUACGACCCCUUCUGUUUCAACACAAUGCCUUUUGGGCUCAAAAACACCGGCGCAACAUAUCAGCGCAUGAUUCAGAUAUGUCUGGAGAAACAAAUCGGCAAAACAGUAGAGGCAUACGUAGAUGAUGUGGUCGUUAAAACCAAACACGUCGACUCUCUAAUAGACGACUUGAGACUCACAUUCAACAAC